GAUGAAGAACGUAGCGAAAUGCGAUAAGUAGUGUGAAUUGCAGAAUUCAGUGAAUCAUCGAAUCUUUGAACGCACAUUGCGCCUCCUGGUAUUCCGGGAGGCAUGCCUGUUCGAGCGUCAUUAAAAUCACUCAAGCUUAGGUUUACCUAUUGCUUGGUCUUGGAGAUGGAAGCCAAUUUAUUGGAAUCCUCUUCGAAAUUCAAUGGCGAAGACCCUUGCUCUCCCAAGUGUAGUAAUAACUUAUGUCACUGAAGGAAGCGAGAAAUCUUCUGCCGUAACCCCCAUAUUUUCUAUGAUUGACCUCGGAUCAGGUAGGGAUACCCGCUGAACUUAAGCAUAUCAAUAAGCGGAGGG
Molecule: unclassified non-coding RNA, 354 nt
Filed under: soil metagenome
Description: partial contains 5.8S ribosomal RNA, internal transcribed spacer 2, and large subunit ribosomal RNA
Rfam family: 5.8S ribosomal RNA (bases 1-120)
Source: RNAcentral